UCACUACGGUGAUGAAGUAGCUCAUGCCCCGCUUCCAGGAAAAGCCUCUAAGCUCUAGAUUAUCAUUAAUCGUACCCCAAACCGACACAGGUGGUCAGGUAGAGAAUACUCAGGCGCUUGAGAGAACUCGGGUGAAGGAACUAGGCAAAAUGGUGCCGUAACUUCGGGAGAAGGCACGCUGGCAUUAGGUGAAGUGAUUUACUCAUGGAGCUGAAGCCAGUCGCAGAUACCAGCUGGCUGCAACUGUUUAUUAAAAACACAGCACUGUGCAAACACGAAAGUGGACGUAUACGGUGUGACGCCUGCCCGGUGCUGGAAGGUUAAUUGAUGGGGUUAUCCGUAAGGAGAAGCUCUUGAUCGAAGCCCCAGUAAACGGCGGCCGUAACUAUAACGGUCCUAAGGUAGCGAAAUUCCUUGUCGGGUAAGUUCCGACCUGCACGAAUGGCGUAAUGAUGGCCAGGCUGUCUCCACCCGAGACUCAGUGAAAUUGAACUCGCUGUGAAGAUGCAGUGUACCCGCGGCAAGACGGAAAGACCCCGUGAACCUUUACUAUAGCUUGACACUGAACAUUGAGCCUUGAUGUGUAG
This 587-nucleotide ribosomal RNA is filed under the name Providencia rettgeri. RNAcentral describes it as "partial 23S ribosomal RNA". It matches the Rfam family "Bacterial large subunit ribosomal RNA", at positions 1574 to 2141 of the family's 2925-position model. The record is from RNAcentral. Lineage: Bacteria; Pseudomonadati; Pseudomonadota; Gammaproteobacteria; Enterobacterales; Morganellaceae.